RNAcentral lists this ribosomal RNA (253 nucleotides) under uncultured bacterium. Its description in RNAcentral is "partial 16S ribosomal RNA". It matches the Rfam family "Bacterial small subunit ribosomal RNA", at positions 524 to 776 of the family's 1533-position model. The record is from RNAcentral.
UACGAAGGGGGCUAGCGUUGCUCGGAAUCACUGGGCGUAAAGGGCGCGUAGGCGGAUCUUUAAGUCGGGGGUGAAAGCCCAGGGCUCAACCCUGGAAUGGCCUUCGAUACUGGAGACCUUGAGACCGGAAGAGGUAAGUGGAACUGCGAGUGUAGAGGUGAAAUUCGUAGAUAUUCGCAAGAACACCAGUGGCGAAGGCGGCUUACUGGUCCGGUUCUGACGCUGAGGCGCGAAAGCGUGGGGAGCAAACAGG